GACAGAGGGUGCAAACGUUGUUCGGAAUCAUUGGGCGUAAAGGGCGCGUAGGUGGUUCUGUAUGUCUACCGUGAAAGCGUACGGCUCAACCGUAUUUUGUCGGUGGAAACUGCAGGACUUGAGGCUGGGAGGGGCUGGUGGAAUUCCCUGUGUAGCGGUGAAAUGCGUAGAGAUGGGGGAGAACACUCGUGGCGAAGGCGGCCAGCUAGACCAGUUCUGACACUGAGGCGCGACAGCGUGGGGAGCAAACAGG
RNAcentral lists this ribosomal RNA (253 nucleotides) under uncultured bacterium. Its description in RNAcentral is "partial 16S ribosomal RNA". It matches the Rfam family "Bacterial small subunit ribosomal RNA", at positions 524 to 776 of the family's 1533-position model. The record is from RNAcentral.